AGACUUCUAGCAGCCACACAGUGAGGUCUUGAGCUGAUGUGUUUCAAGGCUAUACAAGUAAUAGAGGCAGCAGUUAUGGCCUCCUAGGGGAAGGUGAUAACCUAAGAACAUAAGUGGGGAGUGGGGGAGGAUGUUAGGACAGCAGCUAAUGGGGCUGGAGGCCAGGACAGGUCUCCAGUCCUAGAGACGCAAAGAACAAAGGCAGAAGAGGAGAGAGCAAGAAGGCCAGCCACAACAGGACCCAGAGCAGGGUGAAGCUGCAGCCCAGCGCUCACCUGGGAACCCAGACUCCAAAAGGGAAGAUGGCCUGCUGGCACUUUGAUUUUAGUCUGACGAGACCCACACCAGACCUCUGACCUACAAACUGUGAGUGCCAUUCCUGGGCUUUUUGCCCACUGUGAAGACUCCUUUAAUGAGCCCUGGAGCAGCUGCUUGUGCAGAAGCUGCAGUAAGACACAGAUUAGCCCUGAGCUAACUACUGCCAAUCCUCCUCUUUGUGCUGAGGAAGACUGGCCCUGAGCUAACAUCCAUGCCCAUCUUCCUCUACUUUAUAUGUGGGAUACCUACAACAGCAUGGCUUUUGCCAAGCAGUGCCGUGUCCACACCUAGGAUCUGAACUGGCGAAUCCCAGGCCGCUGGAAGUGGAACGUGUAAACUUAACUGCCACCAGGUUGGCCCCGGGACCAUUGUCUCAUAUGCGAUCCAUUGUUGACCAAAAUAUCAUUAUAUGGCGCAUGACUAUAUAUAAAUAAAUAUAUAUACAAAU
RNAcentral lists this long non-coding RNA (766 nucleotides) under Equus asinus (donkey). RNAcentral's name for it is "lncRNA (ENSEASG00005036139.1)". The record is from RNAcentral. Lineage: Eukaryota; Metazoa; Chordata; Mammalia; Perissodactyla; Equidae.